UUGCCAAGUGGAUGUAAAUCAAGAGCCCGCCCAGCCUCUUUGAGAACCACCGUGGGACAUUGCAGAGCCUGUCCCUGGGGUGUGCCGGGAAGGACCCGGGGGAAAGAGGACUGAGGAGAAAGUGACAUGUGGUUCCUUUAAUCACCGGGUGGAAGGAGAGAGGAGGAGAAAGUUCAAACAGAGCCCUUGCGAGCCGGGAAGGCUGCUCUGAGCUCCACUGUUUAAGCAACUGCUGUUGGCAUCGCCAGGGUUUGUCUUGGCCCGAACCUGUCCUGGGAAACAGAGGGACGCUCAUGCUCUUGGAAUUCGCUCCCCUAACGAUUCACUCAGCAGCUCGGGCUUAGGCGGACAAUUAAAAAACAGAAGGAGAAAGAAAGAAGAAAAGAAAAGAAAAACCACCAGGCCACUGGGUGUGGCUUGAUCUCCGAGUGCCACCCUAGGAAUGUGACCCGCCCCCAUAACCUCCCGGAUGACAUGGAAAAACCAAGCAGUCAUUCUUCCAUCAUGAUAAGACAAGACAGUGACCCUACAGGCUUCCAGCACACUGCAGGGAAAUGCCACUCGAUUAAUAGGGGUCCUUGGACCCCUCAAGGGUAACGAACUGUGAAAAGACGCAGGCGUGUUUAUCUUCUGUGCCACAGACUGGUCUGCGUGAGCUCAAGUUUCCAGAAGGCCCCCCCACCCCCGUGGCCCCCAAAUCUUUCUUCCCUCGGACACGCACGUCAAGGAACCCGUGCUGCAGACUCCAGCCCUGGGGCGGAGGUGAGUCCCGUGAGGAGGGUCAUCGCAUGAGCUGGUGGCUGGGAACCCGUCACGUGGGCCUGCUUGUCCCCGCGCGUGUCUCUCUCUGACAGCCCCGGCACCCUGCACCACCUCUGUGAAGAUGGCAUCGUCUCACCUCCGCUGUGGCGAGUGGAGACGGGUGCAAUGGGUGGAGGAAGGUCUGGACGCUCAGGUCCUCGGCCACCGGCCCCACCGCCCGCCCGGGUGGGACGUGCCACCUCCGAGAGCACUGCCUCGUCUGGCCAGCGAUUGCUCCCGCGCUCUCUUGCUCCCGCGUGUGCUGGGAAGAUGCCUGCGUCUGCAAGUGCUGGUGAGGGCCUGGAACAGCCUUUGAAGGUCUCCGGCCAACUGGAUUUAAUUGAACUGCAGUUCCAGGAGCCAGCAGCAUUUUCCUAAGAAAGCGAUACAACUUGGAGAAGUCCCUCGGCACUCCCGUACAGCCCAUUGCCUGCGCUUCAGACCGCUUCAUAAAAGCCGCCACGGGCAGUGUCCUCUGAGGACGGAGCCGGCGGGCGAGACAUUUUGGGUUUUAAAGCUGCAUCACUGUCUCAUCCUUCUUGAGUUAAGUCAUUGCCCUCGUGCUUGCUUCCCAAAGCUGAAGACAUGG
Microcebus murinus (gray mouse lemur) is the source of this 1390-nucleotide long non-coding RNA. RefSeq lists it as uncharacterized. The record is from RefSeq and is a predicted model, not a curated record. Lineage: Eukaryota; Metazoa; Chordata; Mammalia; Primates; Cheirogaleidae.